UGGGGAAUAUUGGACAAUGGGGGCAACCCUGAUCCAGCCAUGCCGCGUGAGUGAUGAAGGCCCUAGGGUUGUAAAGCUCUUUCGGCGGGGACGAUAAUGACGGUACCCGCAGAAGAAGCCCCGGCUAACUUCGUGCCAGCAGCCGCGGUAAUACGAAGGGGGCUAGCGUUGCUCGGAAUCACUGGGCGUAAAGCGCACGUAGGCGGAUCUUUAAGUCAGGGGUGAAAUCCCAAGGCUCAACCUUGGAACUGCCUUUGAUACUGGGGAUCUCGAGUCCGGAAGAGGUUGGUGGAACUCCGAGUGUAGAGGUGAAAUUCGUAGAUAUUCGGAAGAACACCAGUGGCGAAGGCGGCCAACUGGUCCGGCACUGACGCUGAGGUGCGAAAGCGUGGGGAGCAAACAGG
RNAcentral lists this ribosomal RNA (404 nucleotides) under uncultured bacterium. Its description in RNAcentral is "bacterial SSU rRNA". It matches the Rfam family "Bacterial small subunit ribosomal RNA", at positions 355 to 776 of the family's 1533-position model. RNAcentral also lists the same sequence under 2 other names. The record is from RNAcentral.